GGCAGAGAUUUUUCUUCAAAUUCUAAAUCGGAUCAGUAUUUGUUUACCGAUACUCUUUGUCUUCUCCAGUCAACUCCUCACUCACUGUUUUCCUAAAUUUAUCACACACACACACAAUCAAGAGAGAGGAGGGACAAACGUUUCUUGGCGGCAAUGUCGGAGGAGGCAAUGAAUCUGGCGACGGCAGAAGACGGGAACGUGGGCUAGGUGGCAUGGCCCGAGCGAUGCUUCUAGACAGGCGAAGGAUUCGACGACGGCGUGUAGGUGGCAAUUGGUGGAGUAGUAGAAGAAAUCGACAGGGCGCCGCUGCGAGCGGUGGC
Molecule: long non-coding RNA, 320 nt
Filed under: Salvia miltiorrhiza (redroot sage)
Lineage: Eukaryota; Viridiplantae; Streptophyta; Magnoliopsida; Lamiales; Lamiaceae
Description: long non-coding RNA (SMIL_LNC010151)
Source: RNAcentral